UACGGAGGGGACUAGCGUUGUUCGGAAUUACUGGGCGUAAAGCGCGCGUAGGCGGAUUUGCAAGUCGGGGGUGAAAGCCCGAGGCUCAACCUCGGAACUGCCUUCGAUACUGCGGGUCUCGAGUCCGGGAGAGGUGAGUGGAAUUCCUAGUGUAGAGGUGAAAUUCGUAGAUAUUAGGAAGAACACCAGUGGCGAAGGCGGCUCACUGGCCCGGUACUGACGCUGAGGCGCGAAAGCGUGGGGAGCAAACAGG
This 253-nucleotide ribosomal RNA is filed under the name uncultured bacterium. RNAcentral's name for it is "partial 16S ribosomal RNA". It matches the Rfam family "Bacterial small subunit ribosomal RNA", at positions 524 to 776 of the family's 1533-position model. The record is from RNAcentral.